GGCAAAGAAGUUCGGCAUGGUUCCCAUUGGGACAAAAGGGAAUGCACCGGGGACGACCCAAUCCGGGGUCUGAUGGUGCAGCCGCCCCCGCGACUGUAAGCGGAGAGCGCCCGCCAGCGCCACUGGCCCUAAGGGUCGGGAAGGCGGCGGCGCGCUUCGACCCGCAAAGCCAGGAGACCUGCCAUGCGCACAUGCAACCCA
This 201-nucleotide non-coding RNA is filed under the name Aliiroseovarius pelagivivens. Lineage: Bacteria; Pseudomonadati; Pseudomonadota; Alphaproteobacteria; Rhodobacterales; Paracoccaceae. The record is from RNAcentral.